RNAcentral lists this transfer RNA (87 nucleotides) under Kudoa hexapunctata. RNAcentral describes it as "tRNA-Trp". The record is from RNAcentral. Lineage: Eukaryota; Metazoa; Cnidaria; Myxozoa; Multivalvulida; Kudoidae.
UGAAGAAAAACUAAUUAUUUCUUUGAAUACUUGGUCUAGUUUUCUUCCCCAAGGAAGAAGAAAAAAAUAUUAUUUAUUUUUCUUCAC